GACGAACGCUGGCGGCGUGCUUAACACAUGCAAGUCGAACGAAGAUGCCGGAGUGCUUGCACUUUGGCAGACUGAGUGGCGGACGGGUGAGUAACGCGUGGGUAACCUGCCUUAUACAGGGGGAUAACAGUUGGAAACGACUGCUAAUACCGCAUAAGCGCACGGUAUCGCAUGAUACAGUGUGAAAAACUCCGGUGGUAUAAGAUGGACCCGCGUCUGAUUAGCUGGUUGGUGAGGUAACGGCCCACCAAGGCGACGAUCAGUAGCCGACCUGAGAGGGUGACCGGCCACAUUGGGACUGAGACGCGGCCCAAACUCCUACGGGAGGCAGCAGUGGGGAAUAUUGCACAAUGGGGGAAACCCUGAUGCAGCGACGCCGCGUGAGCGAAGAAGUAUUUCGGUAUGUAAAGCUCUAUCAGCAGGGAGAAAAAAUGACGGUACCUGACUAGAAGCCCCGGCUAACUACGUG
This 469-nucleotide ribosomal RNA is filed under the name uncultured bacterium. RNAcentral describes it as "bacterial SSU rRNA". It matches the Rfam family "Bacterial small subunit ribosomal RNA", at positions 28 to 507 of the family's 1533-position model. The record is from RNAcentral.